This 484-nucleotide ribosomal RNA is filed under the name uncultured bacterium. Its description in RNAcentral is "partial 16S ribosomal RNA". It matches the Rfam family "Bacterial small subunit ribosomal RNA", at positions 29 to 507 of the family's 1533-position model. The record is from RNAcentral.
AUUGAACGCUGGCGGCAUGCUUUACACAUGCAAGUCGAACGGCAGCGCGGGCUUCGGCCUGGCGGCGAGUGGCGAACGGGUGAGUAAUGCAUCGGAACGUGCCCAGUAGUGGGGGAUAGCCCGGCGAAAGCCGGAUUAAUACCGCAUACGACCUGAGGGUGAAAGCGGGGGACCGAAAGGCCUCGCGCUAUUGGAGCGGCCAAUGUCGGAUUAGCUAGUUGGUGGGGUAAAGGCUUACCAAGGCGACGAUCCGUAGCUGGUCUGAGAGGACGACCAGCCACACUGGGACUGAGACACGGCCCAGACUCCUACGGGAGGCAGCAGUGGGGAAUUUUGGACAAUGGGGGCAACCCUAAUCCAGCCAUGCCGCGUGCGGGAAGAAGGCCUUCGGGUUGUAAACCGCUUUUGUUCGGGAAGAAAUCCUCUGGGCUAAUACCCCGGGGGGAUGACGGUACCGGAAGAAUAAGCACCGGCUAACUACGUG